Molecule: ribosomal RNA, 497 nt
Filed under: uncultured bacterium
Lineage: Bacteria
Description: partial 16S ribosomal RNA
Rfam family: Bacterial small subunit ribosomal RNA
Source: RNAcentral
GAUGAACGCUGGCGGCGUGCCUAAUACAUGCCAGUCGAGCGAACGGACGAGAAGCUUGCUUCUCUGAAGUUAGCGGCGGACGGGUGAGUAACACGUGGAUAACCUACCUAUAAGACUGGGAUAACUUCGGGAAACCGGAGCUAAUACCGGAUAAUAUUUUGAACCGCAUGGUUCAAAAGUGAAAGACGGUCUUGCUGUCACUUAUAGAUGGAUCCGCGCUGCAUUAGCUAGUUGGUAAGGUAACGGCUUACCAAGGCAACGAUGCAUAGCCGACCUGAGAGGGUGAUCGGCCACACUGGAACUGAGACACGGUCCAGACUCCUACGGGAGGCAGCAGUAGGGAAUCUUCCGCAAUGGGCGAAAGCCUGACGGAGCAACGCCGCGUGAGUGAUGAAGGUCUUCGGAUCGUAAAACUCUGUUAUUAGGGAAGAACAUAUGUGUAAGUAACUGUGCACAUCUUGACGGUACCUAAUCAGAAAGCCACGGCUAACUACGUG